UGUCUCAAAGAUUAAGCCAUGCAUGUCUCAGUACAAGCCAAAUUAAGGUGAAACCGCGAAAGGCUCAUUAAAUCAGUUAUGGUUCCUUAGAUCGUACCCACAUUUACUUGGAUAACUGUGGUAAUUCUAGAGCUAAUACAUGAAAACAGAGCUCCAACCGGAGACGGAAGGAGUGCUUUUAUUAGAUCAAAACCAAUCGGUGGCGGGUCUUGUGCCUGUCAUCGUACAAUUUGGUGAAUCUGAAUAACUUUAAGCUGAUCGCAUGGUCUAGCACCGGCGACGCAUCUUUCAAAUGUCUGCCUUAUCAACUGUCGAUGGUAGGUUCUGCGCCUACCAUGGUUGUAACGGGUAACGGGGAAUCAGGGUUCGAUUCCGGAGAGGGAGCCUGAGAAACGGCUACCACAUCCAAGGAAGGCAGCAGGCGCGCAAAUUACCCACUCCCGGCACGGGGAGGUAGUGACGAAAAAUAACGAUACGGGACUCAUCCGAGGCCCCGUAAUCGGAAUGAGUACACUCUAAACCCUUUAACGAGGAUCAAUUGGAGGGCAAGUCUGGUGCCAGCAGCCGCGGUAAUUCCAGCUCCAAUAGCGUAUAUUAAAGUUGUUGCGGUUAAAAAGCUCGUAGUCGAAUUUGUGUCUUAUGCCGUUGGUUCAUCGUUCGCGGUGUUAACUGACGUGCCGUAGGACGUCCUGCCGGUGGGUUUAGUUUUAUUUUUCUUUUACAUCUUCGGAUGUGGAGAGGAUAGGACGGCCCAAUUCAAUCCUGCUGCGGUGCUCUUCAUUGAGUGUCUUAGUGGGCCGGCACGUUUACUUUGAACAAAUUAGAGUGCUUAAAGCAGGCUAAAAUUUUGCCUGAAUAUUGUGUGCAUGGAAUAAUGGAAUAGGACCUCGGUUCUAUUUUGUUGGUUUUCGGAACUCCGAGGUAAUGAUUAAUAGGAACGGAUGGGGGCAUUCGUAUUGCGACGUUAGAGGUGAAAUUCUUGGAUCGUCGCAGACGAACAGA
Molecule: ribosomal RNA, 1002 nt
Filed under: Mordellistena sp. COL350
Lineage: Eukaryota; Metazoa; Arthropoda; Insecta; Coleoptera; Mordellidae
Description: SSU rRNA
Rfam family: Eukaryotic small subunit ribosomal RNA
Source: RNAcentral